This 301-nucleotide ribosomal RNA is filed under the name uncultured bacterium. Its description in RNAcentral is "partial 16S ribosomal RNA". It matches the Rfam family "Bacterial small subunit ribosomal RNA", at positions 509 to 807 of the family's 1533-position model. The record is from RNAcentral.
CAGCAGCCGCGGGAAUACAGAGGUCUCAAGCGUUGUUCGGAUUCAUUGGGCGUAAAGGGUGCGUAGGUGGCUUGGUAAGUUGAAGGUGAAAUCUCGGGGCUUAACUCCGAAACUGCCUUCAAUACUGCUGAGCUCGAGGAUUGUAGAGGAGAAUGGAAUUCACGGUGUAGCAGUGAAAUGCGUAGAUAUCGUGAGGAAGACCAGUGGCGAAGGCGAUUCUCUGGGCAAUUCCUGACACUGAGGCACGAAGGCCAGGGGAGCAAACGGGAUUAGAUACCCCCGUAGUCCCUGUCUCUUAUAC